Molecule: long non-coding RNA, 238 nt
Filed under: Mytilus galloprovincialis (Mediterranean mussel)
Lineage: Eukaryota; Metazoa; Mollusca; Bivalvia; Mytilida; Mytilidae
Source: RNAcentral
CAACAAAGCUGGAUUUUAGGUUCGUCGGGUUCAUAUUCAAAUUUUCCUGAAGUAGAAACAAAUAUUUUGUUUGAAUAUUAAGAAAGUAUAACAUAGGAAUACAGUAUAUCACUGAAAGUUGUUUGUAGUAUAUGUACACUUGUCAACUAUGGCCUAUUGUUUUGAUUAAUAGGCAAAUUGCAGUUUUCUUUGAUGGUCCUGUAAAUUAUUGGACUAAAUACUUUCAAAUUCGAAAUUG